GGGUGAUUAGCUCAGCUGGGAGAGCACCUGCCUUACAAGCAGGGGGUCGCAAGUUCAAACCUUGCAUCGCCCACCA
Molecule: transfer RNA, 76 nt
Filed under: Caudoviricetes sp.
Lineage: Duplodnaviria; Heunggongvirae; Uroviricota; Caudoviricetes
Description: tRNA-Val
Rfam family: tRNA
About the family: Transfer RNA (tRNA) molecules are approximately 80 nucleotides in length.
Source: RNAcentral